UAUCAGGGGUGCUGUCAAACGCUGAGACGGUGGAACCACCGAACCCUUAUACCUGAUUUGGAUAAUACCAACGUAGGGAGAUC
This 83-nucleotide non-coding RNA is filed under the name human gut metagenome. Its description in RNAcentral is "TPP riboswitch (THI element)". It matches the Rfam family "TPP riboswitch aptamer (THI element)", at positions 8 to 91 of the family's 105-position model. From Rfam's summary of the family: Vitamin B(1) in its active form thiamin pyrophosphate (TPP) is an essential coenzyme that is synthesised by coupling of pyrimidine and thiazole moieties in bacteria. The record is from RNAcentral.